CGCGUAGGCGGGGAGGUAAGUCGGGUGUGAAAUCCCUCGGCCCAACCGAGGAACGGCGCCCGAGACUGCUUCUCUUGAGUCCCGGAGAGGAAGGUGGAAUUCCCGGUGUAGCGGUGAAAUGUGUAGAGAUCGGGAGGAACACCGGUGGCGAAGGCGGCCUUCUGGACGGUGACUGACGCUGAGGCGCGAAAGCGUGGGGAGCAAAC
RNAcentral lists this ribosomal RNA (206 nucleotides) under uncultured bacterium. RNAcentral's name for it is "partial 16S ribosomal RNA". It matches the Rfam family "Bacterial small subunit ribosomal RNA", at positions 568 to 773 of the family's 1533-position model. The record is from RNAcentral.